UUUAUGGAUGAGUGACGUGUGAGCAUAAAAAACCAGAUACACAAUGCUUUUUAGGAUUCCACCAAACUAAACUUUAAUCUAAAAUGAUGUUAGCUGAAUCUAUGCAUAAUACCAGUUCUCCAUUAUGCAUAAAGAUCUAUAGAUCUUGAAUUCACAGACUAAAUAGAAUGAAAUAAGUUCACACAUUGACUCGUAACGAAGCUAAAGGGUAAAUAUAAGCUAAAGAACAAAUUACAACGCACAGAAUAUAUGCUUGAUUGCUUACUAUUUAUUACUAGUUAGACUUGCUUCUAACUGAGAUUGUUAUUUCCUACUACUUUUAGCUAAUUAUUGGUUUUCCCUCUUAGCAUAGGAUGACAAUAAAUUUCAUAAGGAAUAAUAAUAUACUAAGAAAAUUAGUUACUUUACGUGGAUCUAUUAGCUAAAACAUAAACUUUAGCUUUAAAGCAAUUUGUCAGGGGAAAGACUAGAAAUAACAGAGUUCACCAAGAAACAAAGUAGAAUUUUAACAUGGAGAAGGUACACUUGAACAUAAAUUUUUACUACCCCUUCAGAUUAACUGAGCAUAUCUCCAUAACCAAACCAGAA
Long non-coding RNA from Lycium ferocissimum, 588 nucleotides. RefSeq lists it as uncharacterized. The transcript has 2 exons. The record is from RefSeq and is a predicted model, not a curated record. Lineage: Eukaryota; Viridiplantae; Streptophyta; Magnoliopsida; Solanales; Solanaceae.